Long non-coding RNA from Homo sapiens (human), 2015 nucleotides. Ensembl annotates it as long intergenic non-protein coding RNA 507. The record is from Ensembl. Lineage: Eukaryota; Metazoa; Chordata; Mammalia; Primates; Hominidae.
AGCACAUCAGCUCCUGGAAACAAAUGCACUUAACCAGAAAAACAGGGACAUCAACCAGCAAAGAUGCAUCCUCAUUUAAUAGAGCUUGAAAUUACUAUAAUCUGUAAAGUACAGCGAGAAGAAGAAGUUUCACCUGCCUGCACAUCUGUCGUUGACUCUCCAUCUGACUUGGAGGGACUCUGAGGGACCAACCUGAGCCUGAGAAGAGGCAAGAUUCCCCUUCAAGGACACACUGGGAACUUACGGACCUCUUUCUCCAUGGUGCAGAGCGCAGAGGAAAAUCUGGACUCCAAAAUCUGGUUCUACUGAUACGUGGCUGUGGCCAAAGUCUUUCCACGCCUCCAAGGCCUCCAUUUUUUAAUCUUCAUAAGAGGGAACAAUCCAAUCUGCCUAUCAGUAUUGUGAGUGUAUGAUGGCUCCCCUGAAGUCCUGCAAUUUCUUGACUGCGGGUUCCCAGGAAAUGGCAGAUGUGACUGGUGAACAAACAGACGCAUAAUAGCUCUUGAGCUUGCCAUUGGGAAGUGAAAAUCAACUGCUUGAAUAAAUGUAAGGACUCAGGUAGACAUCACCUUGUGACUCAACAGCAGCCAAUAAGAUGGAAAUAAAGGCCAUGAAGUUAUCGGAUGGCAUCUACAAGGAAUACUUAGAUGAGGAGGUGACUCUGGUAGCAAUUGUUCUUUUGUCUUUCUCACCUUCCUUCUUGUCCUGUCUGGGAUGCUGAAGUGAUGGCUGGUAUACAGAUGCCCUGUUGUGAUGUUGAGAUAAACAUGAGAAUAAAAGUCGGCGAUUACAGAUGGCAGAGAAGAGAGAGAAAGAUAGGAUGUAGGUGGAUAUUGACGGAACUAAGUUUCUAUUGCACAAGUUCUACCACCAACCUCUGGACUUCAUGAUAUGUGAGGGAGAAAUAAACUCCUAUUUUAGAAGAGAUCUAUGUUACCUGCAACUGAACGGAAUGCUUAAUUGGCACAUCCUAUGUGCUCCAAACCUUCCUUAAUUUCUGUGUGUAAGGCAUACUUAGUCUUUACCCAUUAUUCUGUUCACAUUCAUUCACUUGAUCAGCCUCCCAACUCUAUGGUAAAGAGUUUACUACAGUUUACUCUAUUAGUAAGGGAGAUUCUGGAGCAAGCCCCACAAAUCAUAGAUUGAAUACCCAUUCAUUAAGAGAGAGAUUUAAAGAUACUUCUAUCCAAACACAUUUUAAAUUUCCAGCACCUUUGAGGUGGUGGAGGUUCAUGGUGGUUGAUAGGGUUUAAAUGACUUGUGAUUCAAGCUCCAUAUUACAAUGUAACAGUGCAAAAGUUCAUUUUUUUAAAUUUAUUUUACUUUAAGUUCUGGUAUACAUGUGUAGAACAUGCGGGUUUGUUACAUAGGUAUACAUGUGCCAUGGUGGUUUGCUGCACCUAUCAAACCGUCACCUAGGUUUUAAGAACCACAUGCAUUAGGUAUUUGACCUAAUGCUCUCCCUCAUGUUGCCCCCCAACUCCCUGACAGGGCCCAGUGUGUGAUGUUCCCCUCCCUGUGUCCAUGUGUUCUCAUUGUUCAACUCCCACUUAUGAGUGAGAACAUGUGGUGUUUGAUUUUCUGUUCCUGUGUUAGUUUGCUGAGAAUGAUGGCUUCCAGCUUCAUCCAUGUCCCUGCAAAGGACACGAACUCAUUCUUUUUUAUGGCUUCAUAAUAUUCCAUGAGUCUGGAUUUGGUUACAGAUAGAGCUGGACAAGCCUUAGCUAUAUCUAAUGGCUUUUGACAUGUUAUAUCAAUUUCUUACUGCUUUUGUAAAUGAAUAUAUUAAGAAGAAAAAAUUACAAAUGACCCUUUCUUCACAAACUUUUAGGGUAAUCAAGUUCAGUUAUUAAAAAAUGGAUGUUUGCAACAUUCAUAGUAAUUAUUUUCAGAAAAUUAAAAAUGAUUAAAAAUUAUAUUUUCAUCCCAUUCAGAUAUUAUAUAUUUAACUGUGAGAUAAUUCUCAGAGAUAAAUGUCAACUUUUAAAAAAUGCUAAAUAAAUUAAAUCAAAAUA